GAAAUGCGAUAAGUAAUGUGAAUUGCAGAAUUCAGUGAAUCAUCGAAUCUUUGAACGCACAUUGCGCCCGCCAGUAUUCUGGCGGGCAUGCCUGUUCGAGCGUCAUUUCAACCAUCAAGCCCCGCGCUUGUGUUGGGGACCUGCGGCUGCCGCAGGCCCUGAAAACCAGUGGCGGGCUCGCUGUCACACCGGGCGUAGUAGAUUUUAUCUCGCUCAGGGCGUGCUGCGGGUUCCGGCCGUUAAAAAGCCUUUUUUACCCAAGGUUGACCUCGGAUCAGGUAGGAAUACCCGCUGAACUUAAGC
Molecule: unclassified non-coding RNA, 303 nt
Filed under: plant metagenome
Description: partial contains 5.8S ribosomal RNA, internal transcribed spacer 2, and large subunit ribosomal RNA
Rfam family: 5.8S ribosomal RNA (bases 1-105)
Source: RNAcentral